RNAcentral lists this ribosomal RNA (521 nucleotides) under Thalassospira sp. Its description in RNAcentral is "bacterial SSU rRNA". It matches the Rfam family "Bacterial small subunit ribosomal RNA", at positions 40 to 596 of the family's 1533-position model. The record is from RNAcentral. Lineage: Bacteria; Pseudomonadati; Pseudomonadota; Alphaproteobacteria; Rhodospirillales; Thalassospiraceae.
UUGCAUGCGCAGCUACCAUGCAGUCGUACGAGAAGGUUCCUUCGGGAACUGGAGAGUGGCGCACGGGUGAGUAACGCGUGGGGACCUACCUCUUAGUGGGGGAUAACGGUUGGAAACGACCGCUAAUACCGCAUACGCCCUUCGGGGGAAAGAUUUAUCGCUAAGAGAUGGACCCGCGUUGGAUUAGAUAGUUGGUGAGGUAACGGCUCACCAAGUCAGCGAUCCAUAGCUGGUUUGAGAGGAUGAUCAGCCACACUGGGACUGAGACACGGCCCAGACUCCUACGGGAGGCAGCAGUGGGGAAUAUUGGACAAUGGGCGCAAGCCUGAUCCAGCCAUGCCGCGUGAGUGAAGAAGGCCUUCGGGUUGUAAAGCUCUUUCAGAUGCGAAGAUGAUGACGGUAACAUCAGAAGAAGCCCCGGCUAAUUUCGUGCCAGCAGCCGCGGUAAUACGAAAGGGGCAAGCGUUGUUCGGAUUUACUGGGCGUAAAGGGCACGCAGGCGGUCCUGCCAGUCAGGGUAA